Molecule: ribosomal RNA, 468 nt
Filed under: uncultured bacterium
Lineage: Bacteria
Description: partial 16S ribosomal RNA
Rfam family: Bacterial small subunit ribosomal RNA
Source: RNAcentral
GACGAACGCUGGCGGCGUGCUUAACACAUGCAAGUCGAACGGAAAGGCCCUGCUUUUGUGGGGUGCUCGAGUGGCGAACGGGUGAGUAGCACGUGAGUAACCUGCCCUUGACUUUGGGAUAACUUCAGGAAACCGGGGCUAAUACCGGAUAGGAGCUCCUGCUGCAUGGUGGGGGUUGGAAAGUUUCGGCGGUUGGGGAUGGACUCGCGGCUUAUCAGCUUGUUGGUGGGGUAGUGGCUUACCAAGGCUUUGACGGGUAGCCGGCCUGAGAGGGUGACCGGCCACAUUGGGACUGAGAUACGGCCCAGACUCCUACGGGAGGCAGCAGUGGGGAAUAUUGCACAAUGGGCGGAAGCCUGAUGCAGCAACGCCGCGUGCGGGAUGAAGGCCUUCGGGUUGUAAACCGCUUUCGCCUGUGACGAAGCGUGAGUGACGGUAAUGGGUAAAGAAGCACCGGCUAACUACGUG